This 644-nucleotide long non-coding RNA is filed under the name Pandoravirus celtis. RNAcentral describes it as "hypothetical ncRNA". The record is from RNAcentral.
CUGUCCUGGAGCGACCACGACUGUGCGAGCAGGGUGUCGCACGACCCCGGCUUGCCCUGUGUGGCCUGGACGACAAGGGCGAUCGCCACGUCGACGACGGCCAACUGGCGACCGCCCACACAUACAUACUGCACGGCGCGCUGGACGAUGCGUGCCAUCGGGUGUAUUCGACGUGGCGGGCGGGAGCGCAUGGGCAAUGGGCAUGUCGCCGCCAACCCGCGGUCAGCGUGCACCGUCGGUUUUAUAGCAACACCAGCGGCGGCAGUGGCGGCGGCGGUCUUGUUCUGAUCCUCACAGACAGAUGCGGAUGGAGAUGUCGCGUUAUUGGUGCGCUGGCGAGCACGCCGUCGUGUGGGUUCGCUUCGUGUGAGCGCACGGCGCUUGCGCGGCGCACACGAUUCAAUCGACUGUGGGCAUGUGCUCGUCAAAGUGGCUCGGGCGUCGUGCUCGGCCAUGGGAUGAGGCAAGGCAAGUUGUUCCAUGAAUCGGAAAGAGGGCAGGUACCGACAGACCAGCCGUAGCAGUUGGAACAAGAAACAGAAACAAAGGAAAAAGAAGAAAACCACCCAAGGCAAUGCGGCACGGUGGCACUGCACCACACCGACCAAUCGCAAAAGAAAAGUGCGUCUUUUGGCACUCUUUUG